UUAAGGCCCAGAUGGUGAAACUCCUUCAGUUGUGGCAGGAAUCAUGGGAGGCGUUUCUAUUCUGAUCCUCUGUGCAGCGGCUUUGUGGUUUAAAGGUUCCUGCUUAUCUAUUGAUCAAGAUGCAGGGCACAAGGAACAGCACAGCUCAUUAUCGGAAAAUGACAUUUCCAUGAAAAAGACCAUUGCUUUUCUCCAGUCACUGGAUUCCAUGUGGAAACAAAACGCUGAGACAGGACGACUGUUAACCCAUCAAAUGCCAGCAGUCAGGUUGGGAACCAUAAAGGUGAGAGCCCACAGAGCCCACAAUGUGUCAAGUGACGCCGCCCACAAUGUGUCAAGUGACGCCGCC
This is a long non-coding RNA of Fundulus heteroclitus (mummichog), 349 nucleotides long. RefSeq lists it as uncharacterized. The record is from RefSeq and is a predicted model, not a curated record. NCBI's taxonomy places the organism in Eukaryota, Metazoa, Chordata, Actinopteri, Cyprinodontiformes, Fundulidae. The transcript has 4 exons.